AUGUGCGUCCAGUUACCCAGCCCGUGCCCAUGUGUGCCACCUCUUAGCUUUGUGCGUCUGGCCUCAAGAGGAAGCCGUUUCCGUCCUGGCGCUUCUUGCUGUGACGUCCUGGAGAGGGGCGUGGGAACGCCGACCUGGCCCCCGGGCAGGUGGAACGAGUGGAUUUGCUGUCAGACUCCGGCUCGAGGUUGUUGGCCGGGCCGCCCACGGGGGUUGUUGGAGGUGCCGCGCGUAGUAGCUGUUGUCUCGGGAGGCUGCCGUCCGUGUGGCCAGACGUCACGUUCCUGGCCGAGCGAGGAAGAAGCGGGGCCUCCCCUCUCCGUGCCCCGUGAGUGUGAAAGGUGGCAGGUGGUGGCUGGGCCAGUGUGGGCUGGGGUGCUGGGGUGCUGGGGUGCGGGGCCACGGAGUCUGCUCAGGAGUCUGGGCGGGAGCAGCAGCGCCUUCGAUCCAGCGCAUCUCUGCGCCUGUGCCACUUGCUGGGCUGUCCCGUGGGUAGGGGGGCGGGUGGGCGCUGGCGGAGGACCUGUAGCUUCUCCUCCCCUCUGGCACCCCGCGCAUAAAGGUGCUGAAGACCCCCCAGAAGAAGACUCAGCCCGGGUCUAGGGAGCUCAGCAGCCACACGGGGAAGCACGGUUGUGGGGUGUGUUAGGGGGCAGCAGACCUGGGGCCUGGCUGUGUGCCCCACGCCCCCGAGACGGGGGUGGAACCCGCUGCCCCGUGGGGCAGAGUGGGGAGCAUGCUGAGUGCCGCGGGACGCGGUCCACGGAGCUCGUGGCGAUUUCACUCUUGCUUUGGCGGGAGGUUAGGGGGUUCCAGAACGGUGGGAUAAAGCGCGAGUCCCGUCCUAGGGUUUUCUGAGGCUUUCUAUUGCUGCGGCGAGCCGUCCCGGAGGUAUCACCCACCACCCAGACCUGGGUUCUGCGCCUUUCAGAGAAAGCUGGGUUGCUUGAGGCUUUUUUUUUUUUUUUUUUUUUUUUGCUGUAGGCUGUAUUCCCUGAUGCUCAGCCCCAGUGCUCCCACGAAAGCCAGACAACCUCUGGGAGGGUGGACACAGUUCACGUCUUAGGAAAGCCUGCCGGGCUAGAACAGGUGACCUCCCUCAGACAGGAGGUGACGCCCUGAUAAUGCCCGGGUGGGGGAGUGAUCCGAGAGGCCAGGGUUCUCAGGCGGUGACCUCUGGACCGCCUGUGUCGGGGCCCCUCCCGUCUGCCUGGCUCCGGGCUGCGGGGCCCACCUGCAGAGCUGGGCCCCACAAUCCCACGUCCCUGCGAGGCCACCCAGUGAGCCUCUGGA
RNAcentral lists this long non-coding RNA (1293 nucleotides) under Canis lupus familiaris (dog). RNAcentral's name for it is "lncRNA (ENSCAFG00040017371.1)". The record is from RNAcentral. Lineage: Eukaryota; Metazoa; Chordata; Mammalia; Carnivora; Canidae.